RNAcentral lists this ribosomal RNA (373 nucleotides) under uncultured organism. RNAcentral's name for it is "partial 16S ribosomal RNA". It matches the Rfam family "Bacterial small subunit ribosomal RNA", at positions 527 to 896 of the family's 1533-position model. The record is from RNAcentral.
GUAGGUGGCAAGCGUUGUCCGGAAUUAUUGGGCGUAAAGCGCGCGCAGGCGGUUCUUUAAGUCUGAUGUGAAAGCCCACGGCUCGAACCGUGGAGGGUCAUUGGAAACUGGAGAACUUGAGUACAGAAGAGGAAAGCGGAAUUCCACGUGUAGCGGUGAAAUGCGUAGAGAUGUGGAGGAACACCAGUGGCGAAGGCGGCUUUCUGGUCUGUAACUGACGCUGAGGCGCGAAAGCGUGGGGAGCAAACAGGAUUAGAUACCCUGGUAGUCCACGCCGUAAACGAUGAGUGCUAAGUGUUAGGGGGUUUCGCCCCCUUAGUGCUGCAGCUAACGCAUUAAGCACACCGGCCUGGGAGUACGGCCGCAAAGGCUG